Molecule: ribosomal RNA, 497 nt
Filed under: uncultured bacterium
Lineage: Bacteria
Description: partial 16S ribosomal RNA
Rfam family: Bacterial small subunit ribosomal RNA
Source: RNAcentral
GAUGAGCGCUGGCGGCGUGCCUAAUACAUGCAAGUCGAGCGAACGGACGAGAAGCUUGCUUCUCUGAUGUUAGCGGCGGACGGGUGAGUAACACGUGGAUAACCUACCUAUAAGACUGGGAUAACUUCGGGAAACCGGAGCUAAUACCGGAUAAUAUUUUGAACCGCAUGGUUCAAAAGUGAAAAACGGUCUUGCUGUCACUUAUAGAUGGAUCCGCGCUGCAUUAGCUAGUUGGUAAGGUAACGGCUUACCAAGGCAACGAUGCAUAGCCGACCUGAGAGGAUGGGGAGACACACUGGAACUGGACGCACGGGCAGACAACGACGGGAGGCACCAGGAGGGAAUAGUUGACAGAGGGCGCGAGCCUUACCAAGCCAUAACGCGUGAGUGAAGAAUGCCUUCGGGUCGUAAAGCCCUUUUGUGGGGCAAGAACAGAAGCAGGCUAAUACCCAGCUGUUAUGAGGGUACCCAAAGAAGAAGCAACGACUAACUUCGUG